CCUCCUACGGGAGGCAGCAGUAGGGAAUCUUCCACAAUGGACGAAAGUCUGAUGGAGCAACGCCGCGUGAGUGAAGAAGGGUUUCGGCUCGUAAAGCUCUGUUGGUAGUGAAGAAAGAUAGAGGUAGUAACUGGGCUUUAUUUGACGGUAAUUAAUUAGAAAGUCACGGCUAACUACGUGCCAGCAGCCGCGGUAAUACGGAGGGGGCAAGCGGUAUCCGGAUUUACUGGG
RNAcentral lists this ribosomal RNA (231 nucleotides) under uncultured bacterium. RNAcentral describes it as "partial 16S ribosomal RNA". It matches the Rfam family "Bacterial small subunit ribosomal RNA", at positions 335 to 558 of the family's 1533-position model. The record is from RNAcentral.